RNAcentral lists this transfer RNA (74 nucleotides) under Candidatus Mesenet longicola. It matches the Rfam family "tRNA". Rfam says of the family: Transfer RNA (tRNA) molecules are approximately 80 nucleotides in length. Their secondary structure includes four short double-helical elements and three loops (D, anti-codon, and T loops). Lineage: Bacteria; Pseudomonadati; Pseudomonadota; Alphaproteobacteria; Rickettsiales; Anaplasmataceae. The record is from Rfam by way of RNAcentral.
GGGGCCGUAGCUCAGUAGGAUAGAGCACUAGAUUCCUAAUCUGGGGGUCGUGCGUUCGAAUCGCACCGGUCCCA